Molecule: ribosomal RNA, 248 nt
Filed under: uncultured bacterium
Lineage: Bacteria
Description: partial 16S ribosomal RNA
Rfam family: Bacterial small subunit ribosomal RNA
Source: RNAcentral
AAGAUGGCGACCGGCGCACGGGUGAGUAACACGUAUCCAACCUGCCGAUAACUCCGGAAUAGCCUUUCGAAAGAAAGAUUAAUACCGGAUGGCAUACGAAUAUCGCAUGGUAUUUUUAUUAAAGAAUUUCGGUUAUCGAUGGGGAUGCGUUCCAUUAGGCAGUUGGUGAGGUAACGGCUCACCAAACCUUCGAUGGGUAGGGGUUCUGAGAGGAAGGUCCCCCACAUUGGAACUGAGACACGGUCCAA